UACGAGGGGGGCUAGCGUUGUUCGGAAUCACUGGGCGUAAAGCGCACGUAGGCGGCUUUUUAAGUCAGGGGUGAAAUCCUGGAGCUCAACUCCAGAACUGCCUUUGAUACUGAGAAGCUUGAGUCCGGGAGAGGUGAGUGGAACUGCGAGUGUAGAGGUGAAAUUCGUAGAUAUUCGCAAGAACACCAGUGGCGAAGGCGGCUCACUGGCCCGGUACUGACGCUGAGGUGCGAAAGCGUGGGGAGCAAACAGG
Molecule: ribosomal RNA, 253 nt
Filed under: uncultured bacterium
Lineage: Bacteria
Description: partial 16S ribosomal RNA
Rfam family: Bacterial small subunit ribosomal RNA
Source: RNAcentral